AGAGUUUGAUCCUGGCUCAGAACGAACGCUGGCGGCGUGGAUAAGACAUGCAAGUCGAACGCUAAUCACAUUGCAGCAAUGUAGUGUGGUUGGAGUGGCGCAAGGGUGCGUAACACGUGGGUAAUUUGCCGUGAAGACUGGGAUAACUUGCUGAAAGGCGAGCUAAUACCGGAUGUGGAAAUUGGGAGGCAUCUCUUGAUUUCUGAAGUUGGGGACCGCAAGGCCUGACACUUCACGAUAAGCCCGCGGCCUAUCAGCUAGUUGGUGAGGUAACGGCUCACCAAGGCAAAGACGGGUAGCUGGUCUGAGAGGACGACCAGCCACACUGGAACUGAGAGACGGUCCAGACACCUACGGGUGGCAGCAGUCGAGAAUUUUUCUCAAUGGGGGAAACCCUGAAGGAGCGACGCCGCGUGGGGGAUGAAUGGCUUCGGCCCGUAAACCCCUGUCAUUUGCGAACAAUGUGUACUAUUUAAAAGAUGGUGCAUUGAUAGUAGCGAAAGAGGAAGGGACGGCUAACUCUGUGCCAGCAGCCGCGGUAAUACAGAGGUCCCGAGCGUUGUUCGGAUUCACUGGGCGUAAAGGGUGCGUAGGUGGUGAGGUAAGUCGGAUGUGAAAUCUCCAAGCUCAACUUGGAAAUGGCAUUGGAAACUACCUUGCUGGAGGUUUGGAGGGGGGACUGGAAUUCUCGGUGUAGCAGUGAAAUGCGUAGAUAUCGAGAGGAACACCAGUGGCGAAGGCGAGUCCCUGGACAAAACCUGACACUGAGGCACGAAAGCUAGGGGAGCAAACAGGAUUAGAUACCCNNGUAGUCC
Molecule: ribosomal RNA, 815 nt
Filed under: uncultured bacterium
Lineage: Bacteria
Description: bacterial SSU rRNA
Rfam family: Bacterial small subunit ribosomal RNA
Source: RNAcentral